Canis lupus familiaris (dog) is the source of this 1438-nucleotide long non-coding RNA. RefSeq lists it as uncharacterized. The record is from RefSeq and is a predicted model, not a curated record. NCBI's taxonomy places the organism in Eukaryota, Metazoa, Chordata, Mammalia, Carnivora, Canidae. The transcript is spliced from 2 exons.
GUCUCCCUCCACGCUUGUCCUUCUAGAAGCCAACAGUCCCAGGGCAAGGGCACGCACGCCCCGGACGCGGGGUCCACACCCCACCUGCUGCCCCCGCAUCCCAGGGACGCCCCGCUUCCCGCCCGUUCCCUCCGGCGCCCUGGCCUCCCUCCCCAGGCCUCCUCGAGGACGCAGGCCGGCCUCCUUCUCCAGCCUCCCCUACUCAGGGGUUUGUGGUCCAGUGGCUUCCUGCGGAAAGGGGCGGCAGAUUGUAGGAAAUCUCCACACCCACCGUGGGGCUCGAGCUCACCACCCCGAGUUCGAGUCGCAGGGUCUUCUGACGGAGCCAGUGGGCGCCCCUGCUUGUAAGGCUUUUGAUUUCAAAGCGGGAGGCAGAGCAGACGUGGCCUGACUCGCCUGGACCUGAGCGGCCCCCGACCAGCAUCUCCGCCCCCCCAUCCGCUCCUCUCCUGCAAGGUCGACCUUAUAGACAGAUGUCGGGGGACCACGUGCCGCCCCCUCUGCAGCAGCCCUGGGUGACGGGCAGACAAAGCGGAUGCUGGGAGACACACCUGCUCACACACCUGAGCGUCCCCGGUGAGGAACAACCACGCGUGCCCGGGCAGGUGGGCCCGUGCUCCUGUCUGCCCGGCCUCCGGACCUCCGCCAAUGACCUCUUAGCCAUCAUGGCCUGUAGCUCCCAAGGUUUCCCAACUGGGAAAUGGAAGCCAGAAAGGUCGGGAGGCAGACCUGGAAUCAGCAACCGCCAGGCAGUGCCCAAUCCCUGCCCGGGCCUGGAGGUUCCACGGGACUUGAAUCCGCACACCUUGCUUCAGUCUACACUCACUCUGCAACUGGGGGUGCGGGGACAUUGUUUAUGCGUCCAUCAGUGACUCUUGCUGGAGCUGCUCUAGGCCGGAAGGACACAGGGGUGAACAAACCAGGGAUGACCCCAGCACCCCACCCCAGCAUCCCCGUGGGAGGACAGAUGGCCCAGACACAAAGCGCCCAGUCCACGGAGCUCGGGCUGGCACAGGACGAGGAGGGGGCCUGACCCGUCCUCCACCUCACCUCCUCGAGCUGCACCUCUCUCCUCCCCCAGAGCUCGCCAGCCAUCCGCUCUCCCUCUGUGUCUGAGCCUGGCUGUCCCCUGGCCACCUGCCCGGGCAGGUGAUGAAGCUGACGGGGAGGGACAAACGACAGGGAGGCCGGGCCAGGUGCAGGCCCAGCUGGGGCAAAGAAGGAGAAGGAGGCCGCCCGGCCGUCCCGCUGCCUCUGGAAGCUGCCGCACUCACGGGAUGCUUCUCGGCCCCCGAUCUGAGCAGACUUUUACCAGGCUGGAAGAGAACACCCAGAAGAGAAGGAAAAUAAAACUCUCCCUUCAGAAUGCCAAGAUGGGGAAAUUUAUCUUUGCACUUAAAAAAAAUUUUUUUUGGAAUAACAUGAUAUGUCUGAGGCC